This 770-nucleotide ribosomal RNA is filed under the name uncultured fungus. Its description in RNAcentral is "eukaryotic LSU rRNA". The stretch from base 424 to 576 matches the Rfam family "5.8S ribosomal RNA". The record is from RNAcentral. Lineage: Eukaryota; Fungi.
AAGUCGUAACAAGGUUUCCGUAGGUGGUUCGCCUACGCACCGUUCAGUCAGCGCCUCUGCAGGCCUGGCAACGCAUCCAUCCUGGCUGGAAAUGGUCCUCUUCGGGCCUUUACCAGCGGCUUCCCCCAAGGAAGCUCACAGAUCAGACGGGUGUGGCCUCCCCGAGGAGGUUGAGAUAUGAUCGGCCCAGGCUGUCGCCCGCCUGGACUGUUGCGGAACCUGCGGAAGGAUCAUUACAGAGAGGAGCUCCGCGCUCCAGGGGGUUCGCCCCCGCCUCUCAACCCCGUGUAUAUCAUACCUUUGUUGCUUUGGCGGGCCUUGGGGUCAUGCUCAUGCCGGGCUUUUCGCCCGGCGAGUGCUCGCCGGAAGCCUACCAAAACUCGUUUAAUUUAUGCUGUCAGAGUCUAAACACAAAUGAAGCAAAACUUUCAACAACGGAUCUCUUGGUUCUGGCAUCGAUGAAGAACGCAGCGAAAUGCGAUAAGUAAUGUGAAUUGCAGAAUUCAGUGAAUCAUCGAAUCUUUGAACGCACAUUGCGCCCCUCGGUAUUCCGGGGGCAUACCUGUUCGAGCGUCAUUACACCUCUCAAGCGUAGCUUGGUAUUGGGCCUCGCUCCCUCACAAGGGCGUGCCUGAAAAGUAGUGGCGGUCCGGCGUGGCCUUGAACGUAGUAAAUUUUCUCCCGUUCUGAAGGCUCACGUCGCGGCUGGCCAGAAUCGCCCACUUUCAAGAAUUGACCUCGGAUCAGGUAGGGAUACCCGCUGAACUUAA